GAUGAACGCUGGCGGCGUGCCUAAUACAUGCAAGUCGAGCGAACAGACGAGGAGCUUGCUCCUCUGAUGUUAGCGGCGGACGGGUGAGUAACACGUGGAUCACCUACCUAUAAGACUGGGAUAACUUCGGGAAACCGGAGCUAAUACUGGAUAACAUGUUGAACCGCAUGGUUCAACAGUGAAAGACGGUCUUGCUGUCACUUAUAGAUGGAUCCGCGCCGCAUUAGCUAGUUGGUAAGGUAACGGCUUACCAAGGCAACGAUGCGUAGCCGACCUGAGAGGGUGAUCGGCCACACUGGAACUGAGACACGGUCCAGACUCCUACGGGAGGCAGCAGUAGGGAAUCUUCCGCAAUGGGCGAAAGCCUGACGGAGCAACGCCGCGUGAGUGAAGAAGGUCUUCGGAUCGUAAAACUCUGUUAUUAGGGAAGAACAAAUGUGUAAGUAACUAUGCACGUCUUGACGGUACCUAAUCAGAAAGCCACGGCUAACUACGUG
Molecule: ribosomal RNA, 497 nt
Filed under: uncultured bacterium
Lineage: Bacteria
Description: partial 16S ribosomal RNA
Rfam family: Bacterial small subunit ribosomal RNA
Source: RNAcentral